CCUACGGGAGGCAGCAGUGGGGAAUAUUGGACAAUGGGCGAAAGCCUGAUCCAGCCAUGCCGCGUGUGUGAAGAAGGCCUUCGGGUUGUAAAGCACUUUCAGUGGGGAAGAAAGCCUUGGGGCUAAUACCCUCGAGGAAGGACAUCACCCACAGAAGAAGCACCGGCUAACUCCGUGCCAGCAGCCGCGGUAAUACGGAGGGUGCGAGCGUUAAUCGGAAUUACUGGGCGUAAAGCGCGCGUAGGCGGUCUGAUAAGCCGGUUGUGAAAGCCCCGGGCUCAACCUGGGAACGGCAUCCGGAACUGUCAGGCUAGAGUGCAGGAGAGGAAGGUAGAAUUCCCGGUGUAGGGGUGAAAUGCGUAGAGAUCGGGAGGAAUACCAGUGGCGAAGGCGGCCUUCUGGACUGACACUGACGCUGAGGUGCGAAAGCGUGGGUAGCAAACAGGAUUAGAUACCCUGGUAGU
RNAcentral lists this ribosomal RNA (464 nucleotides) under Vreelandella stevensii. RNAcentral describes it as "partial 16S ribosomal RNA". It matches the Rfam family "Bacterial small subunit ribosomal RNA", at positions 338 to 794 of the family's 1533-position model. The record is from RNAcentral. Lineage: Bacteria; Pseudomonadati; Pseudomonadota; Gammaproteobacteria; Oceanospirillales; Halomonadaceae.